Molecule: unclassified non-coding RNA, 379 nt
Filed under: soil metagenome
Description: partial contains 5.8S ribosomal RNA, internal transcribed spacer 2, and large subunit ribosomal RNA
Rfam family: 5.8S ribosomal RNA (bases 1-120)
Source: RNAcentral
GAUGAAGAACGUAGCGAAAUGCGAUAAGUAAUGUGAAUUGCAGAAUUCAGUGAAUCAUCGAAUCUUUGAACGCACAUUGCGCCCGCCAGUAUUCUGGCGGGCAUGCCUGUUCGAGCGUCAUUUCAACCCUCAAGCCCCAGCGGCCUGGUGUUGGGGACCGGCGACCUCGCCCGAGCCCGCCCUCCGGGGCGCGUGCCCGGUGCGUCCGCCGCCCCCGAAAUGAAUUGGCGGCCUCGUCGCGGCCUCCUCUGCGUAGUAGCACAACCUCGCAAGCGGGAGCGCGACGCGGCCACUGCCGUAAAACGCCCAACUUUUUUAGAGUUGACCUCGGAUCAGGUAGGAAUACCCGCUGAACUUAAGCAUUUCAAUAAGCGGAGGA